UACAGAGGGUGCAAGCGUUGUUCGGAAUUAUUGGGCGUAAAGCGCGUGUAGGCGGCUUUGCAAGUCGGGUGUGAAAGCCCUCGGCUCAACCGAGGAAGUGCGCCCGAAACUGCAGAGCUUGAGUACCGGAGAGGGUAGCGGAAUUCCCUAAGUAGAGGUGAAAUUCGUAGAUAUGGGGAGGAACACCGGUGGCGAAGGCGGCUACCUGGACGGAUAUUGACGCUGAGAAGCGAAAGCAUGGGGAGCGAACAGG
Molecule: ribosomal RNA, 253 nt
Filed under: uncultured bacterium
Lineage: Bacteria
Description: partial 16S ribosomal RNA
Rfam family: Bacterial small subunit ribosomal RNA
Source: RNAcentral